GGCGCCCGCCACCGUGUCCGGCUAAUUUUUUAUAUUUUUAGUAGAGAUGGGGUUUCACCGUGGUUUCGAUCUCCUGACCUCGUGAUCUGCCUGCUUUGGCCUCCCAAAGUGCUGGGAUUACAGGCAUGAGCCACUGUGCCCGGCCUUUAUGCUGAGUUUUAAGGGCUGUAUGAGACACCAGGUGGUGGGAGGGAGCUGUUUUGAGAGCAGGGAAUUUAGGAUACUUAGGAAAUUAGAAAAUUAGAGAAGUCAUAGGAUCUUGGAACUAAGGGAGAACCUUAGAGUCCUGUGGAGCAGAACCCAGCAUUUGUAUGUGGAGAAACGGAGGCCCAGAGAAGUUGUGACUUAUCCGGGUCACUCUGCAGGUCUGGGUGUCCCACCCGAGUCCAUGUCAGGGCUCUUUCUGCACACCAAGCCCCAUGCCCACCUCUGUGUGACUGGCUGUGGUGGGAGGGGCCUCCUAGGCUAGAGGUGCUGGGAUCCCUUUUCAGUCCAGAAAUAAUGAGCUUAGAGGGUCUGGAAGUAGCAUGGACUAAAACCCAGGAAGGAUCCACAGGGACUGUUGAUGCCAGUGAGGACUCCAGGAAGCCGGAUCACGGGGACUGUUGAUGCCAGUGAGGACUCCAGGAAGCUGCUGUUGGGACAGCCCUGCUUUGGGAGUCUGAGGUUCCAGGAAACCCCAGGAAUCCGGAUUCUCAUCCCUGAGACCUACUCAGGACUAGCCCAGGGGACCGAGCUAGGAAACCUGCUUGAGGUGGUAGAGGCAGCCAGGGGUGUGCAGUGGUCCGGGCGGGCUUCGAUCAGUUCCAGGUUGGUUGCUUCUCCAAACUGGCUCCAAGACAGGCAUGUGGCUCAAGUUGGUCUGGACUCAAUCCCGGGACUUUAGGACUUUUGCUAGAAAUCUGGUGUGGUGCAGGAGCGACUCCAGGAUUCACUCUGUGGGCUGCUUGGACUCAGACUCCCCCAGGACUAGAGGCUGCUUCUCCCUGGUGGGAGGAGUUACAACCUUGCAAGGGUUCUAAAGACCCCCGGGUGCUGGGUGGUGGGCUUUUCCUGACAACUUCCAUAAGUUAUUGGAACCUAAAUUCACACUGCUUAGCAUCGUAAUAGUCUGAUCAACCCUGCUCAGUGUUGUCAUACUUGCCCUAUUACCAGGGAGAGAAAUAGAGAGGUGGGUGCCUCCCUAGAGUAUCCACCCACACUGUGUACUGAAUGCCCCUCCUCAACCUGUCUCUCGUGGGGACCUGCACCUGCUUUUCCUACUAACUGCUGGCUUGUAUUUAUUCCCCUAAAGCCUGUUCCAUAACCCAGUGUGGUUCUUAGACUUGAGCAAACCUCAGAAACACCUGGAGGGCUUAUCCCCAGUCCUGAUUCUGUAGGUCUGGGGUGAGGCCUUAUAGUGUGCAUUUUAACAACGUCCCCAGUGUUUCCCAAUGCUGCUGGUGCACACCAAGUGUAGAAUUUGCCUCUGUGCCUGUUGCACAGUAGGUGGAGGUGGCAACUGUAAAAGAGACCCAGCUAUCCUAAAAACAGAAAAGGUACUGUCUUCAGUGGGGCUGCCAGGAUUGGAAGGAAUGUGAGCCUGUAGCUGCUCCUUUGCCCCCACGAAGGCCAGCUUGCCUUAGGAUGAAGCCAACACAGACCGGGUGCAGCAGCUCACACCUGUAAUCCCAGCACUUUGGGAGGCCAAGGUGGGCAGAUCACCUGAGGUCAGGAGUUUGAGACCAGCCUGGCCAACAUAAUGAAACCCUAGCUCUACUAAAAAAAAAAUAGAAUAAAAAAAAAAAUUAGCCGGGCAUGGUGAUGCACGCCUGUAAUCCCAGCUACUCAGGAGGCUGAGACAGGAAAAUCACUUGAACUGGGAGGUGGCAGUUAGAGUGAGUUGAGAUCACACACUGCACUCCAGUCUGGGGGACAGAGCAAGGGCUCAUCUCAAAAAAAAAAAAAAGAAAGAUAUAAAGCCAACACAAUUGAGAGAGAGUGACACAUUCCAGAGAAUAUUUGAGUAGCUGAAUCUAGACAUGUUUUACACUAACUGGAUCUAGCCCCUUUUUAGUGAAAUGAACCCCCCAGAAAGUUACCUUCUUUCCCUAAACCCAUCUCAAUAGGUUGCUGUCUGACAAUUCUGAGUCUCGCUGUAGUGGAGAAGACAUUGAAGACACCAGGUUAUAGAAAAACAACAGAGAAAAGAAAACAGAGGGCCGGGUGUGGUGACUCAUGCCUGUAAUCCCAGCACUUUGGGAGGCCGAGGCAGGCAGAUCACCUGAGGUCAGGAGUUCGAGACCAGCCUGGCCAACGUGGUGAAACCCCGUCUCUACUAAAAAUACAAAAUUAGCCUGGC
This 2341-nucleotide long non-coding RNA is filed under the name Homo sapiens (human). RNAcentral's name for it is "non-protein coding lnc-AHCY-6:1". The record is from RNAcentral. Lineage: Eukaryota; Metazoa; Chordata; Mammalia; Primates; Hominidae.